GUUAGGGUUGGUUGGGGUAAUGUUAGGGUAGGGUAGGGUUAGGGGUAGGGUCCUGUUCCCCGCUCCCCGUUCCACAUUUUAGUAACAUCCAUAUAAAAACAGGAAUGUUGGCAGGGCUCAUCAAUGGAAACGUACAACACAGGCAGCUCAUCGCUGGGAACGUACAUAACAAUUUCUAGCGGGAUUAGGCAGCAGCUCAGUUUAUUAAUUUUGUGCAAAGUCCAACAACUGUUUUGAACUCAGGUUAUGUAUUUUUAUAAACAGAUUAAUGACAACUUCUGUUCGCUCAUACAAACUCUGUUAUAGAUCUAAACUCCUCAACGUGAGCCUGUAAAUCUAAAAUUAACCCAAAAUAGCUAGUCUUUGAAAAGGUUCACUCAAGAAUUUCACUCGGUUGUAAGUUUCUAGUGAUGGGCACCUGUUGUUGAAUGAUUUAUUGUUAAUAUUUGGAUGAAUUAUAAACAGUAUAUCAUAGCUUGGUGUGUUUCAUACUUCGAUGCUAUCAAAAACUACUGGUAAACCUGUACAGAUGUACUGUUCCUGCGUGGAAGGCGAGAGCUGAGCUGCGGGGUGCUGACACGGCAACAUAACGGUCAACAGUCUUCAUGUUGUUGCUAGGCAAAGCGAAGAAAGAAGAGCCAAAACGGGAGUGCUCCUAGGAAGUGGAAAAGGAAAAUAAGUUAUUUCGAAUGACACCUCAAUUACCUCAACUAGCAAAUUUUCGCGCGACACGAGCUGUGAUUAAUGGCAGCGCACGAUUUUAAUCAAAGUUCUUCUGCUCAAAAAUGGAUAGUUUUAGCACUUUGGUAUUCCCUGCUAGCAGAGGCCUCUUUUUUUGUAUUUUUCAGCGAAAUACAGAGAAAAGAGGUCUCUGGUAGCAGUAUGUAUCGUCAAAUGCGUGUGUGUAUACUUAUACAGAGAAAAGAGGUCUCUGGUAGCAGUAUGUAUCGUCAAAUGCGUGUGUGUAUACUUAUACAGAGAAAAGAGGUCUCUGGUAGCAGUAUGUAUCGUCAAAUGCGUGUGUGUAUACUUAUACAGAGAAAAGAGGUCUCUGGUAGCAGUAUGUAUCGUCAAAUGCGUGUGUGUAUACUUAUACAGAGAAAAGAGGUCUCUGCUAGCAGUAUGUAUCGUCAAAUGCGUGUGUGUAUACUUAUACAGAGAAAAGAGGUCUCUGGUAGCAGUAUGUAUCGUCAAAUGCGUGUGUGUAUACUUAUACAGAGAAAAGAGGUCUCUGGUAGCAGUAUGUAUCGUCAAAUGCGUGUGUGUAUACUUAUACAGAGAAAAGAGGUCUCUGGUAGCAGUAUGUAUCGUCAAAUGCGUGUGUGUAUACUUAUACAGAGAAAAGAGGUCUCUGGUAGCAGUAUGUAUCGUCAAAUGCGUGUGUGCAUACUUAUACAGAGAAAAGAGGUCUCUGGUAGCAGUAUGUAUCGUCAAAUGCGUGUGUGUAUACUUAUACAGAGAAAAGAGGUCUCUGCUAGCAGUAUGUAUCGUCAAAUGCGUGUGUGUAUACUUACUCCUCCAGAUGAUAUCGCAAUUGAUGCCUGCAACAAAGCGGUGUACUGUUAAAACAACACUAAUUCACAUCUUACCCCAACAUUAUGUGAAGCUGAUAUUUUCAAAUGAAACGAUAGGUAAGAGCAUCAAUUAAAAAAAAAAAACUGCUAAAAUAGACCUACAGUACCGUGAUUGUUCGAAUACGCGCCGGGAUCCCAGGCGAGGCACUUAUUUCAAAAUCCUUUACAUUUCUAGUUAAAUGCUUGCUUUGUUACAUUGUGUAAGGAGUCAAAAUCCUCCAAGUCCCAUAUAAGACCAUCCUCGGGGACCCAGGGCGACGCGGACACAGGAAGCACGCGC
This is a long non-coding RNA of Nematostella vectensis (starlet sea anemone), 1854 nucleotides long. RefSeq lists it as uncharacterized. The record is from RefSeq and is a predicted model, not a curated record. Lineage: Eukaryota; Metazoa; Cnidaria; Anthozoa; Actiniaria; Edwardsiidae. The transcript has 2 exons.